GUGGGGAAUUUUGGACAAUGGGCGCAAGCCUGAUCCAGCAAUACCGCGUGCAGGAAGAAGGCCUUCGGGUUGUAAACUGCUUUUGUACGGAACGAAACGGUCCGGGUUAAUACCCUGGGCUAAUGACGGUACCGUAAGAAUAAGCACCGGCUAACUACGUGCCAGCAGCCGCGGUAAUACGUAGGGUGCAAGCGUUAAUCGGAAUUACUGGGCGUAAAGCGUGCGCAGGCGGUUUUGUAAGACAGGCGUGAAAUCCCCGGGCUCAACCUGGGAAUUGCGCUUGUGACUGCAAGGCUGGAGUGCGGCAGAGGUGGAUGGAAUUCCGCGUGUAGCAGUGAAAUGCGUAGAUAUGCGGAGGAACACCGAUGGCGAAGGCAAUCCCCUGGGCCUGCACUGACGCUCAUGCACGAAAGCGUGGGGAGCAAACAGGAUUAGAAACCCUUGUAGUCC
RNAcentral lists this ribosomal RNA (450 nucleotides) under uncultured bacterium. RNAcentral describes it as "partial 16S ribosomal RNA". It matches the Rfam family "Bacterial small subunit ribosomal RNA", at positions 354 to 796 of the family's 1533-position model. The record is from RNAcentral.